CUGAAGUGAUGCAUAACCGAUCAG
This 24-nucleotide microRNA is filed under the name Macaca mulatta (Rhesus monkey). RNAcentral describes it as "mml-miR-573". Its record names the gene mml-miR-573. The record is from miRBase by way of RNAcentral. Lineage: Eukaryota; Metazoa; Chordata; Mammalia; Primates; Cercopithecidae.